AACGAACGCUGGCGGCAUGCCUAACACAUGCUAGUCGAACGAGACCUUCGGGUCUAGUGGCGCACGGGUGCGUAACGCGUGGGAACCUGCCUUUAGGUUCGGAAUAACUCAGAGAAAUUUGAGCUAAUACCGGAUGAUGUCUUCGGACCAAAGAUUUAUCGCCUUUAGAUGGGCCCGCGUUGGAUUAGCUAGUUGGUGGGGUAAAGGCCUACCAAGGCGACGAUCCAUAGCUGGUCUGAGAGGAUGAUCAGCCACACUGGGACUGAGACACGGCCCAGACUCCUACGGGAGGCAGCAGUGGGGAAUAUUGGACAAUGGGCGAAAGCCUGAUCCAGCAAUGCCGCGUGAGUGAUGAAGGCCUUAGGGUUGUAAAGCUCUUUUACCCGAGAUGAUAAUGACAGUAUCGGGAGAAUAAGCUCCGGCUAACUCCGUG
This 433-nucleotide ribosomal RNA is filed under the name uncultured bacterium. RNAcentral's name for it is "partial 16S ribosomal RNA". It matches the Rfam family "Bacterial small subunit ribosomal RNA", at positions 29 to 507 of the family's 1533-position model. The record is from RNAcentral.